GUAGGUGGCAAGCGUUGUCCGGAAUUAUUGGGCGUAAAGCGCGCGCAGGCGGUUCUUUAAGUCUGAUGUGAAAGCCCACGGGCUCAACCGUGGAGGGUCAUUGGAAACUGGAGAACUUGAGUACAGAAGAGGAAAGCGGAAUUCCACGUGUAGCGGUGAAAUGCGUAGAGAUGUGGAGGAACACCAGUGGCGAAGGCGGUUUUCUGGUCUGUAACUGACGCUGAGGCGCGAAAGCGUGGGGAGCAAACAGGAUUAGAUACCCUGGUAGUCCACGCCGUAAACGAUGAGUGCUAAGUGUUAGGGGGUUUCCGCCCCUUAGUGCUGCAGCUAACGCAUUAAGCACUCCGCCUGGGGAGUACGGCCGCAAAGGCUG
RNAcentral lists this ribosomal RNA (373 nucleotides) under uncultured organism. RNAcentral's name for it is "partial 16S ribosomal RNA". It matches the Rfam family "Bacterial small subunit ribosomal RNA", at positions 527 to 896 of the family's 1533-position model. The record is from RNAcentral.